RNAcentral lists this ribosomal RNA (253 nucleotides) under uncultured bacterium. RNAcentral describes it as "partial 16S ribosomal RNA". It matches the Rfam family "Bacterial small subunit ribosomal RNA", at positions 524 to 776 of the family's 1533-position model. The record is from RNAcentral.
UACGUAGGGACCGAGCGUUGUCCGGAUUCAUUGGGCGUAAAGAGCUCGUAGGCGGCCACUCAAGUCGAAUGUGAAACCUCGAGGCUUAACCUCGAGCCUGCAUUCGAUACUGGGCGGCUAGAGUCUGGUAGGGGGAUCUGGAAUUCCUGGUGUAGCGGUGGAAUGCGUAGAUAUCAGGAGGAACACCAAUAGCGAAGGCAGCUCGCUGGGACGUAACUGACACUGAGGCGCGAAAGCGUGGGGAGCGAACAGG